Aspergillus taichungensis is the source of this 72-nucleotide non-coding RNA. NCBI's taxonomy places the organism in Eukaryota, Fungi, Ascomycota, Eurotiomycetes, Eurotiales, Aspergillaceae. The record is from the annotation of a GenBank genome assembly.
GGGCUUGUGGUUUAGUGGUAUAAUACUCGCUUAGCAUGUGAGUGGUCCGGGGUUCGAUUCCCCGCGAGUCCA